This 19-nucleotide small nuclear RNA is filed under the name Arabidopsis thaliana (thale cress). RNAcentral's name for it is "snRNA_07863". Lineage: Eukaryota; Viridiplantae; Streptophyta; Magnoliopsida; Brassicales; Brassicaceae. The record is from RNAcentral.
AGUUCCGAACCCGUCGGCU